This is a long non-coding RNA of Acanthopagrus latus (yellowfin seabream), 2216 nucleotides long. RefSeq lists it as uncharacterized. Lineage: Eukaryota; Metazoa; Chordata; Actinopteri; Spariformes; Sparidae. The record is from RefSeq and is a predicted model, not a curated record. The transcript has 3 exons.
CUUCAGCCUUGAUUUUAGAGAGCUGAGAGUUGGAGCAGACCUGCAGUUUUCUUGGAGUUUGUUCCAGAUGUGUGGCGCAUAAUAACUGAACGCUGCUUCCCCCAUGUUUAGUUUUGACUCUAGGGACUGGGAAGCAGACCUGUACCUGACGACCUCAGAUGUCUGGAUGGUUCAUAAUGCUCGUAUAAAUGCACUCAGUGCAGGAUUUUGAAAUCUGUUCUCUCAGAUGUAACUCACGAACAACAACAUGAUAUAAGUUUUGGAGCUGUGCUGCGCUGAAGGACGACUUCUUGACAGGAGGCCAGAAGGAAUCUCUCACUGCCAGGCGAAGAGGCCAAGUUCCAUUCCUUCUGCUCGGCUUCAGCUCCUCCAAAUUCCCCUGACCUCCUGACCCACUGCAGUUUGACCGUGUGAACCCUCCGCUGCCAAUCUCCGCCUGUCGCACGUUCACCAACAACUCUGAGAAUCUUGAACUUUAGAGUCUCUAAAGGUGGACGUAAAGGUGUGAUGAAGAGGAUAAAGGCCUCUCCAGGUCUGGGUCAGGCCUCCUGCAGCAGCAGCUUGCCUCCUGGAUAAGAGCAGCAGACCCCGGUCUCUUUACUUACAGCCCGCUGGAGCAAGAGGUCGACACACACCUGAACCCUUCCCCAACACAGAGUGGGCCGCGGGGCCCGGAAACACACAGGACAGCCGACCUGCUUUGACCUCUCCUCUGCUCUGUGGCCCCCUGGGACCCCCAACAAUAAGCUCAGGGACCACUCGCAACCUCUCUGUUAGCACACUCUGCCCCCUCAGCACCUCAGCCAGACAGUGCUGCACUAUUCAAAAAACACACACCCACUCAGGCGCGUACACUGUACACAUAAACAAAGAGUCACACUCAAACAUUAUACAGGCAUCACAUACUGCCUCAUGCAAACACAAUCUGUCACACACAGCCAUGUAGCGCAUCUCUCCCUCUGUGUCUCUCUCUCGCUCACUCACUCAGUCUCUGUCUCUCCCCUCUGUCUGUCUGUUUCAUGUGGAGCCAGGUGGGAGCUCAGCGUUAAACUGGUGAAUAUCUCCAUCUUGUGGACAGUGUUUGCUUAAUAUGAGACAUGUUGAGGGGCAAAUGUUUUAUUGUCUGGUCAGGGAAGGUCAGAGCACUAAUUUACUUUGCUACAGUUCUGCUCUUCACAUAGGACGCGGCAACACAUAAAAACGAGUAAUAUCAGUGCAUCUACGCGGUAACAGCAAUUAUUUUCUUGAAUUUAUCAUGUGAGCCAAUGUCUGUUGUAAACAAGGUAUGUUCAUGUGUGAAAUCAUUUGUCCACAGCCUCCCAGGGUCAAAGAGGCGGCAGGGUGACUUUAUCUUGAAUGUCACUUUGUUUUUGGUUGGUUAGACAGUACCCUCUCUUGGAUUGGCUUCUCGGAUGAAGGCACAGGUGAGGCCCACAGAGGAGCAGCCCCCUCUCUCCACAGCGUUUCCUCUGCUAAAACAGCCCUACAUUUUAAUAUGCAACAUCUGUGCCGGGAGAGCCUUCCAAAAUGGCUGCUCCUUAGAGGAUGACGGUAGAGUCUGCUCAAACUUGGGGUUGGGGCAUUUGGUACUGCAAGGUUCUGCACAGAUGUUAGCAUUCACAAUGUCACUCUGUCCUUUGCUUCAGUACCCAGGGAGGUCUAUUUUAAGGGAGGGUGGUGUGUUUUCUUCCUUAGUUCCCUGAGAUCACUUUAUCUGUAACUGUCAUUGUAAAGAAUUCUAGGUAGACUUGUUCAACUGAACUGGGACUGCUGUCUCUGAUCACUAAAGUAUGAAGGAGCUUUCUGCUUGUUAAUUUAUCAUUUGGUCUGGUACCACUAUAUGGUGGCAGCGCGGUGACGCUGUACCAUGUAGUCGCAAAACACGACAGCGGUUAACGGUGCAAUACAUCAGGCAAUCACAUUAAAAGCCUUCAAAACGAUACUGUAAAGAGAAUGAUAAAGGAUUCCAAGACAAAGCCACUGUUGUUUCCCGAGUCAUCUCAGUCGCAUUCGUAGAGGAGCAUUAGCUCAGUCGCACAGAGCCGUGUUUGUGCUGUGCUUUCACAAAGAAUUGAGAAUAUUUUCUGAACAGAGAUGCCAUGACCUAAAGGCUGCUUGUCAGUCGGAUUAUUCAACUGAUUCUCAAACAAGACUCUCGACAAGGCUGCGAAGAAUCAGGGAGGGAACGAAGGGGGCCAAAAGAGAGAAAAGGCAAA